Molecule: RNA transcript, 1286 nt
Organism: Cercocebus atys (sooty mangabey)
Lineage: Eukaryota; Metazoa; Chordata; Mammalia; Primates; Cercopithecidae
Exons: 5
Source: RefSeq, a predicted model, not a curated record
AUGCAUACCUGUCGCCUCUCUCCUCAUGGACAGGUGACAGUUAUGCAUAGUGCCUGUCGCCUCUUUCCUCAUGGACAGGUGACAGGUGUCCAUAGUGCCUAUCGCCUCUCUCCUCAUGGACAGGUGACAGUUGUGCAUAGUUCCUGUCACCUGUCAGGUGUGCAUAGUGCCUAUCGCCUCUCUCCUCAUGGACAGGUGACAGGUGUGCAUAGUGCCUAUCGCUUCUCUCCUCAUGGACUGGUGACAGGUGUGUGUAGUUACUGUCGCCUCUCUCCUCAUGGACAGGUGACAGGUGUCCAUAGUGUCUAUCGCCUCUCUCCUCAUGGACAGGUGACCAUUAUGCAUAGUGCCUAUCGCCUUUCUCCUCAUGGACAGGUGACAGGUGUGCAUAGUUACUGUCGCCUCUCUCCUCAUGGACAGGUGACAGGUGUGCAUAGUGCCUAUCGCCUCUCUCCUCAUGGACAGGUGACAGGUGUCCAUAGUGCCUAUCGCCUCUCUCCUCAUGGACAGGUGACAGGUGUGCAUAGUGCCUAUCGCCUCUCUCCUCAUGGACUGGUGACAGAACAUCAACUCGAAAGACUGCUUCGAAGUUUUAGAAGCCUUUCCUUUACACUAACCAGGACAGAAAUGAUUAUCUUAGCCACUAGAACACAGAAUGUUCUUGGUGAGAAGGGCCGGUGGAUUCGGGAACUCACUGCUGUAGUUCAGAAGACGUUUGGCUUUCCAGAGGGCAGUGUAGAGCUUUAUGCUGACAAGGUGGCCACUAGGGGUCGUGACAUUGCCCAGGCAGAGUCUCUGCGUUCCUAGGAGGGCUUGCUGUGAGGAGGGCCUGGCUAUGGUGUGUUGCAGUUCAUCAUGGAGAGUGGGGCUAAAGGCUGCGAGGUGGUGGUGUCUGGGAAACUCCGAGGACAGAGGACUAAAUCCAUGAAGUUUGUGGGUGGCCUGAUGAUCCACAGCGGAGACCCUGUUAAUUACUACAUUGAUACUGCCGUGCACCAUGUGUUGCUCAGAUAGGGUGUGCUGGGCAUCAAGGUGAAGAUCAAGCUGUCCUGGGACCCAACUGGUGAGAUUGGCCCUAAGAAGCCCCUGCCUGACCACAUGAGCAUCAUGGAACCCAAAGAUGAGAUACUGCCCACCACCCCAUCUUAGAACAGAAGGGGGGGAAGCCAGAGCCACCUGCCAUGCCGCAGCCAGUCCCCACAGCAUAACAGGGUCUCCUUGGCAGCUGUAUUCUGGAGUCUCAAUGUUGCUCUGUAAAGACCUUUAAUAAAAUAUUGCAGAAAGAC